This 56-nucleotide ribosomal RNA is filed under the name uncultured bacterium. RNAcentral's name for it is "partial 16S ribosomal RNA". The record is from RNAcentral.
UCUGAUGUGAAAACCCGGGGCUCAACCCCGGGACUGCAUUGGAAACUGUCAAUCUA